Molecule: long non-coding RNA, 898 nt
Organism: Anopheles bellator
Lineage: Eukaryota; Metazoa; Arthropoda; Insecta; Diptera; Culicidae
Exons: 3
Source: RefSeq, a predicted model, not a curated record
GUCGAAUGAUUUUCUUCUAUAUAACCUAAAGAAGCUACCGGUAAGGGUGCUCCAGUAAAAUGGCCCUACAAGUGAGAAUGUUGUUUCUGGUCGUCCUAAUUACCAUGCUCACUGUUUUGGCCAAGACCGAGCCAAAAGAAUCUGCGCUGGAAGAAACCUUGCAAUGCUUCAGGGAGCUAAGUGGAGUGCUUAACGAAUCGUUCCUCAAAUGCUGUUCCACGCGCGGGAUGACUGAAACUGUGGCCGCUGUGAUGAUGCAGUUGCAGUUACAGUUAAUAAAUGCCCAAAAACUUCUAUUCGAUCCGGCGCAUCACGAUUCCGUUUCGAACGGGUCAUCGGAGUCACACGAAACGCAUCAAAAAGUUGCAAACCGUGUCAUUAUGACUGUGCUCUCUGCCGUUGAAUAUUUAUUGCGCGAAUUGAACCAGACCAGCCUGGGCUUCACAGCAUAAUUUACAUCGACCGAGUACCGAGCUUCGCUGGCCAUCCGCAUCUUGUUUGAUAUGAUUGAACAUUGAACCCAACACAACGGAAGGGGGACACACAGAUUUCCCUGCCGGUAUCGGCGUUUCGAUUGGGUGUUCCAACGUCACGGAGUAUCUCGAGAUAGCGGCCGGGCAAUAGUAUCUUAUAAUUAUUAUUUCCAUUGUAUCUCUCCGACAAGCGGCGGCUCCCGAAACUUCAACGUAAAUUCGCUUGCCUACCCCAAAAACACCACAGGACACCCUAAUGAUACGGUGAUAUCGCUUAUCACUUAGACACGAUCGGCGAUCGAUCAUUACUUGCAGAUGCAUCGAGUGUUGCAAAUAUGAUUGCAGAAUAUAAUAGAACCGAGGCUGUGACACUAAUUUGGCAUGGUUUUACAUUUUUCCCUCCAAUAAACGUGACUGUACGAUGA